CGCUGGCGGCGUGCCUAAUACAUGCAAGUCGAGCGCAGGAAGCAAGCGGAUCCCCUUCGGGGGUGAAACUUGUGGAAUGAGCGGCGGACGGGUGAGUAACACGUGGGCAACCUACCUGUAAGAUCGGAAUAACCCCGGGAAACCGGGGCUAAUGCCGGGUAACACCUUCCCUCACCUGAGGGGAGGUUAAAAGAUGGCUUCUCGCUAUCACUUACAGAUGGGCCCGCGGCGCAUUAGCUAGUUGGUGAGGUAACGGCUCACCAAGGCGACGAUGCGUAGCCGACCUGAGAGGGUGAUCGGCCACACUGGGACUGAGACACGGCCCAGACUCCUACGGGAGGCAGCAGUAGGGAAUCUUCCGCAAUGGACGAAAGUCUGACGGAGCAACGCCGCGUGAACGAUGAAGGUCUUCGGAUCGUAAAGUUCUGUUGUUAGGGAAGAACAAGUACCGUGCGAAUAGAGCGGUACCUUGACGGUACCUAACGAGGAAGCCCCGGCUAACUACGUGCCAGCAGCCGCGGUAAUACGUAGGGGGCAAGCGUUGUCCGGAAUUAUUGGGCGUAAAGCGCGCGCAGGCGGUUCCUUAAGUCUGAUGUGAAAGCCCACGGCUCAACCGUGGAGGGUCAUUGGAAACUGGGGAACUUGAGGACAGAAGAGGAGAGUGGAAUUCCACGUGUAGCGGUGAAAUGCGUAGAUAUGUGGAGGAACACCAGUGGCGAAGGCGACUCUCUGGUCUGUCUCUGACGCUGAGGUGCGAAAGCGUGGGUAGCAAACAGGAUUAGAUACCCUGGUAGUCCACGCCGUAAACGAUGAGUGCUAGGUGUUAGGGGGCUUCCACCCCUUAGUGCUGAAGUUAACGCAUUAAGCACUCCGCCUGGGGAGUACGGCCGCAAGGCUGAAACUCAAAGG
RNAcentral lists this ribosomal RNA (909 nucleotides) under Halobacillus campisalis. RNAcentral describes it as "bacterial SSU rRNA". It matches the Rfam family "Bacterial small subunit ribosomal RNA", at positions 34 to 907 of the family's 1533-position model. Lineage: Bacteria; Bacillati; Bacillota; Bacilli; Caryophanales; Bacillaceae. The record is from RNAcentral.